ACAGUGGACGCGAGCAUCUUUGUUGUAAGUGUUUAAGAGCGUACGGUGGAUGCCUUGGCACCAGGAGCCGAUGAAGGACGUAGGAGGCUGCGAUAAGCCUCGGGGAGCUGUCAACCGAGCUGAGAUCCGAGGAUGUCCGAAUGGGGAAACCCAGCCACAGUGAUGUGUGGUUACCCGCGCCUGAAUAUAUAGGGCGUGAGGGGAACGUGGGGAAGUGAAACAUCUCAGUACCCACAGGAAGAGAAAACAACAUGUGAUUCCGUGAGUAGUGGCGAGCGAAAGCGGAAGAGGCUAAACCAUGGGUGUGAUAGCCGGCGGGCGUUGCAUUCGUGGGGUGUGGGAUCCGUCUUGUCAAUUCUGCCGGAUUGGCCGACAGUGAGAAAUCAUCGUGUUAGUCGAAGUGGUCUGGAACGGCCUGUCGUAGAGGGUGAGAGUCCCGUAGACGAAAACAUGGUGACUGUCGUGACGGACACCCGAGUAGCAGCGGGCCCGUGAAAUCUGCUGUGAAUCUGUCGGGACCACCCGAUAAGCCUGAAUACUCCCUGGUGACCGAUAGCGGACUAGUACCGUGAGGGAAAGGUGAAAAGUACCCCGGGAGGGGAGUGAAAUAGUACCUGAAACCGUGCGCUUACAAUCCGUCAGAGCCUGCGCCACUUCGGUGGGUGGGUGAUGGCGUGCCUUUUGAAGAAUGAGCCUGCGAGUUAGCGGCAUGUCGCGAGGUUAACCCGUGUGGGGUAGCCGUAGCGAAAGCGAGUCCGAAUAGGCGUUUGUAGUGGCAUGUUCUAGACCCGAAGCGGAGUGAUCUACCCAUGGCCAGGGUGAAGCGACGGUAAGACGUCGUGGAGGCCCGAACCCACUUAGGUUGAAAACUGAGGGGAUGAGCUGUGGGUAGGGUGAAAGGCCAAUCAAACUCCGUGAUAGCUGGUUCUCCCCGAAAUGCAUUUAGGUGCAGCGUCGCGUGUUUCACUCUGGAGGUAGAGCUACUGGAUGGCCGAUGGGCCCCACAAGGUUACUGACGUCAGCCAAACUCCGAAUGCCAGAGUGUGAGAGCGCGGCAGUGAGACUGCGGGGGAUAAGCUUCGUAGUCGAGAGGGAAACAGCCCAGAUCGCCGGCUAAGGCCCCUAAGCGUGUACUAAGUGGAAAGGAUGUGGGGUCGCGAAGACAACCAGGAGGUUGG
RNAcentral lists this ribosomal RNA (1178 nucleotides) under Rhodococcus (subgen. Prescottella) equi. RNAcentral describes it as "Rhodococcus hoagii partial 23S ribosomal RNA". It matches the Rfam family "Bacterial large subunit ribosomal RNA", at positions 1 to 1104 of the family's 2925-position model. The record is from RNAcentral. Lineage: Bacteria; Bacillati; Actinomycetota; Actinomycetes; Mycobacteriales; Nocardiaceae.